Long non-coding RNA from Setaria italica (foxtail millet), 1430 nucleotides. RefSeq lists it as uncharacterized. The record is from RefSeq and is a predicted model, not a curated record. NCBI's taxonomy places the organism in Eukaryota, Viridiplantae, Streptophyta, Magnoliopsida, Poales, Poaceae. The transcript is spliced from 3 exons.
AGGCGCCAGGCACAGCCGCACGCACCGCGCCGCCCCCGUCCACCCACGUCCGCCGCGCGGCCGCGCCGCGGCGCCGUCCCGCGCCCCCCGGCCCCCGCGGCGAGAUCCCGUCGCCCGCCGCCGCCAGACCCCUUCAGGCCUCCGCCGGCAGGUCUACCCGCGGUCCCGCGCGGCGCUGCGGCCUCUCUGCUCUCGGCGCUCGGCGCUCGCGGCGCUCCGGCGCCGGCGCAGCCCCACCAGGCGACCGCCCCCCCUCGGGCCUCGGCCCCUCCCCGGCUCCCCCCGCCCCCCACCAGGACUGCCUGCUGCCCCCCACCGCGAGGCAGUACAAAAUGAAGAAGUCAAAAAAUAUUGAUCUGAAAUCAACGUGGGAAAGGGCUACGAAGACACGCAUGUAGAUUCUCUUCUGAACUUUUUAGGUUGUUCGUCUAAAUAUUUUUUUUCAAUGGGCAUACCCUACUUUGAAAUCCUAGGUCCGUCAUUGGGAGCAAGCACCGGUCCCACGCUGCGUUAGUCUGUAGCAAUCAUAUACCAGAGCACAGCACAUUAAGUACUCACAUAGAAGACAGACUGUACCUCACGAAGUAUUCUUUUGCAAAGUUUCUUGACCUUGGUUUUGGAUUUAACAUCCGCAUGCAAUACUUUAUCUGUAUUCUUCUGUGUGUCAAUCGAUUCAACAGUAGUGGCAGGUUGUUCCUCAUUGUCAUCUUCUUCAAUUUCCGAAUAUUCAUCGGACUGGGCUGGACUAUCUUCAUCACUAUCACCAAAUGAAGUUUUGUUUCCCUUCCAACGAUGGCCAGCAAUUUUCAUUGGCAGGCCCUUUAUGCCAAGACCCUGCUUGCCUGAAGUAGCUUUAUCCUGCAGCAAAUCACAGACCAUGCAUAUAUUAAGAAUUCAGCACAUCAUACCAAUCAACCUGAACAAGAUUGUACAGAUUUUCUUGAUCUUCCUCCACAAAUGUCUGGCGGACAUUAGAAGGAUCUUUUCGUGAAGAUCUUUUUUUACGAGAUGUUGCUCCAAGAAACCCUCCUGAUACAAAUCCAAAUUUGUGCCCCCACCAGUUUACAUCUUCAGCUUGGGAUACUGCACAAGCAAAGAGUUGACAAAGCAAGUUACUAAAACCUCUAUGAAAUUUAGCACACAAUGAAGAAAAGGUACAAAGGUAAUCGAAAUCGACUGCUCAAUCUGUUGACAUGGUGCACACGGUUGUAAAAAUAGAUGUGUCAAAAUAGAUGUAUUGCCAAUUGCUAUAGAUGCACACGGUUGACAUGAAGAAGUCAAAAAUGACAUUUGGUUCCUUGUAGGCAGUACAAAAUGAAGAAGUCAAAAAAUAUUGAUCUGAAAUCACCGUGGGAAUGGGCUACAAAGACACGUAUGUAGAUUCUCUUGUGAACUUUUUUUAUGUUGUUCGUCUAAAUAUUUUUUUUCAA